This 429-nucleotide ribosomal RNA is filed under the name Acidobacteriota bacterium. Its description in RNAcentral is "Acidobacteria bacterium partial 16S ribosomal RNA". It matches the Rfam family "Bacterial small subunit ribosomal RNA", at positions 355 to 776 of the family's 1533-position model. Lineage: Bacteria; Pseudomonadati; Acidobacteriota. The record is from RNAcentral.
UGGGGAAUGUUGGACAAUGGGGGAAACCCUGAUCCAGCCAUCCCGCGUGUGCGAUGAAGGCCUUCGGGUUGUAAAGCACUUUUGGCAGGAAAGAAACGUCAUGGGUUAAUACCCCGUGAAACUGACGGUACCUGCAGAAUAAGCACCGGCUAACUACGUGCCAGCAGCCGCGGUAAUACGUAUGGUGCAAGCGUUAAUCGGAAUUACUGGGCGUAAAGCGUGCGCAGGCGGUUCGGAAAGAAAGAUGUGAAAUCCCAUGGCUCAACUUCGGAACUGCAUUUUUAACUACCCGGCUGGAGUGUGUCAGAGGGAGGUGGAAUUCCGCGUGUAGCAGUGAAAUGCGUAGAUAUGCGGAGGAACACCGAUGGCGAAGGCAGCCUCCUGGGAUAACACUGACGCUCAUGCACGAAAGCGUGGGGAGCAAACAGG